GGGUGAGUAACACGUGAGUAACCUGCCCUUAACUCUGGGAUAAGCCUGGGAAACUGGGUCUAAUACCGGAUAUGACUCCUCAUCGCAUGGUGGGGGGUGGAAAGCUUUAUUGUGGUUUUGGAUGGACUCGCGGCCUAUCAGCUUGUUGGUGAGGUAAUGGCUCACCAAGGCGACGACGGGUAGCCGGCCUGAGAGGGUGACCGGCCACACUGGGACUGAGACACGGCCCAGACUCCUACGGGAGGCAGCAGUGGGGAAUAUUGCACAAUGGGCGCAAGCCUGAUGCAGCGACGCCGCGUGAGGGAUGACGGCCUUCGGGUUGUAAACCUCUUUCAGUAGGGAAGAAGCGAAAGUGACGGUACCUGCAGAAGAAGCGCCGGCUAACUACGUGCCAGCAGCCGCGGUAAUACGUAGGGCGCAAGCGUUAUCCGGAAUUAUUGGGCGUAAAGAGCUCGUAGGCGGUUUGUCGCGUCUGCCGUGAAAGUCCGGGGCUCAACUCCGGAUCUGCGGUGGGUACGGGCAGACUAGAGUGAUGUAGGGGAGACUGGAAUUCCUGGUGUAGCGGUGAAAUGCGCAGAUAUCAGGAGGAACACCGAUGGCGAAGGCAGGUCUCUGGGCAUUAACUGACGCUGAGGAGCGAAAGCAUGGGGAGCGAACAGGAUUAGAUACCCUGGUAGUCCAUGCCGUAAACGUUGGGCACUAGGUGUGGGGGACAUUCCACGUUUUCCGCGCCGUAGCUAACGCAUUAAGUGCCCCGCCUGGGGAGUACGGCCGCAAGGCUAAAACUCAAAGGAAUUGACGGGGGCCCGCACAAGCGGCGGAGCAUGCGGAUUAAUUCGAUGCAACGCGAAGAACCUUACCAAGGCUUGACAUGGACUGGAAACAUCUGGAAACAGGUGCCCCGCUUGCGGCCGGUUCACAGGUGGUGCAUGGUUGUCGUCAGCUCGUGUCGUGAGAUGUUGGGUAAGUCCCGCAACGAGCGCAACCCUCGUUCCAUGUUGCCAGCGCGUAAUGGCGGGGACCAUGGGAGACUGCCGGGGUCAACUCGGAGGAAGGUGGGGACGACGUCAAAUCAUCAUGCCCCUUAUGUCUUGGGCUUCACGCAUGCUACAAUGGCCGGUACAAAGGGUUGCGAUACUGUGAGGUGGAGCUAAUCCCAAAAAGCCGGUCUCAGUUCGGAUUGGGGUCUGCAACUCGACCCCAUGAAGUCGGAGUCGCUAGUAAUCGCAGAUCAGCAACGCUGCGGUGAAUACGUUCCCGGGCCUUGUACACACCGCCCGUCAAGUCACGAAAGU
Molecule: ribosomal RNA, 1295 nt
Filed under: Pseudarthrobacter sulfonivorans
Lineage: Bacteria; Bacillati; Actinomycetota; Actinomycetes; Micrococcales; Micrococcaceae
Description: bacterial SSU rRNA
Rfam family: Bacterial small subunit ribosomal RNA
Source: RNAcentral